This 446-nucleotide ribosomal RNA is filed under the name uncultured bacterium. RNAcentral's name for it is "partial 16S ribosomal RNA". It matches the Rfam family "Bacterial small subunit ribosomal RNA", at positions 338 to 795 of the family's 1533-position model. The record is from RNAcentral.
CCUACGGGAGGCAGCAGUAGGGAAUAUUGCUCAAUGGGGGAAACCCUGAUGGUGCGACGCCGCGUGGGGGAAUGAAGGUCUUCGGAUUGUAAACCCCUGUCAUGUGGGAGCAAAUUAAAAAGAUCGUACCACACUAGGAAGAGACGGCUAACUCUGUGCCAGCAGCCGCGUUAAUACAGAGGUCUCAAGCGUUGUUCGGAAUCACUGGGCGUAAAGCGUGCGUAGGCUGUUUCGUAAGUCGUGUGUGAAAGGCGCGGGCUCAACCCGCGGACGGCACAUGAGACUGCGAGACUAGAGUAAAGGAGGGGGAACCGGAAUUCUCGGUGUAGCAGUGAAAUGCGUAGAUAUCGAGAGGAACACUCGUGGCGAAGGCGGGUUCCUGGACAUUAACUGACGCUGAGGCACGAAGGCCAGGGGAGCGAAAGGGAUUAGAUACCCGUGUAGUC